RNAcentral lists this unclassified non-coding RNA (329 nucleotides) under Hevea brasiliensis (rubber tree). Lineage: Eukaryota; Viridiplantae; Streptophyta; Magnoliopsida; Malpighiales; Euphorbiaceae. The record is from RNAcentral.
CUGCGAUUACCUGCUGCUUUUCUUCUCCUUUCUCUUGGUUUUGUUGUAUCAUUGCAUCUUUUCUCAGUUCCUUGAUCUGUAUUUUUGCUGCUGUGAUAUGUCGCCUCUUACUAUUUCCAAUUUCUCUUAUUUGAUUUUUUAUAUUUCUUCUUCUUCUUUUUUAGAUCUAUCGAUUUCAAACUGAAUUCAUCCAUUUCGCUUCUUAUUUUCAUCCUUAACUUUGUUUUGUAGAGGAAAUAAAGAGAAAUUAAAGAGAAAAAUUAAAGAAAAAAAGCAAAGGGAGUAAAUUUAAUUUUUUUAUAUUAUUUGAAUGAAUUAUUAGAGUAAGG